Molecule: long non-coding RNA, 317 nt
Filed under: Nicotiana tabacum (common tobacco)
Lineage: Eukaryota; Viridiplantae; Streptophyta; Magnoliopsida; Solanales; Solanaceae
Description: long non-coding RNA (NTAB_LNC013637)
Source: RNAcentral
UGAUAGGAUUAUGGGAUUGGAUUUACCAUCUGGUGGACAUUUAACUCAUGGUUAUUAUACUUCUGGUGGGAAGAAAAUUUCUGCUACUUCGAUUUAUUUUGAGAGUUUGCCUUAUAAGGUGAAUUCAACAAAUGGAUAUAUUGAUUAUGAUAGGUUGGAAGAGAAGGCUUUGGAUUUUAGGCCUAAAUUGAUUAUUUGUGGUGGUAGUGCUUAUCCUAGAGAUUGGGAUUAUAAGAGAUUUAGAGAAAUUGCUGAUAAAUGUGGGGCCCUUUUGCUUUGUGAUAUGGCUCACAUUAGUGGUCUUGUUGCUGCUCAGG